Carassius gibelio (silver crucian carp) is the source of this 391-nucleotide long non-coding RNA. RefSeq lists it as uncharacterized. Lineage: Eukaryota; Metazoa; Chordata; Actinopteri; Cypriniformes; Cyprinidae. The record is from RefSeq and is a predicted model, not a curated record. The transcript has 2 exons.
ACACAACAAAGGUUGAUUUGUAAGAUCCAUUUUGAAUAGACGAAAACAUUUUAUAUAGUUUGUCUGCUCUCCAGCUGUUCUGCCCUGGUGUUUUCCUGUGAAGGAUCAGGGCAGAGAGGAUUCUGGGUAAGCAGGUAGACUGAUCUCACACGCCAAUGACUCAAGCACCUCCAACUGUACAGCAGUGAAGCUGCUGGGAGUCUCCGGGUGGAUCCUGCUGCUCCCAGAGAGAGAACACAACAGAACCGGAGAACGUCCCCAGAGGUGGAUCUAAGGAGCGUGUUGAGCUGCUGUGAGUCUGAAGUACAGGACACUCACGCCCAGAGUCCUUCCUCGGCGUACAUCUUGGGGGCACAUUCUCUCAGGGUGUUGGCAUAGCCCGGCUGAGUCU